This is a long non-coding RNA of Parus major (Great Tit), 1851 nucleotides long. The record is from Ensembl. Lineage: Eukaryota; Metazoa; Chordata; Aves; Passeriformes; Paridae.
CUGGAGGUGAAGCAGUGCCCUCAUUCCGCGUUUCUCUGUGUGCCAGGUGUCCCUGCGGGCUGAGAGGAGCCCUUUGCUCAUUGAGGACAAGGGCAGAGGGACCCCGUGGGUGUGCUAAGUGUCAUCAAGGACCGUCUGCUCCUCCGCAGCGCGCUGAGAAGGGACAGGCAAAAGAAUAACAACAAAUACAUUCCUAGACAAAAGCCCUGGGGCUGGAGAACAGUUUGGUUGGCAGCAUCAACAGCCCAGCAUUAGGUAGCACUGUACCGGAAAAUUACCUCCUCCUUGCAGCACAGGCGGUUUGAAAGAGGCGGUUUUUGAAAGAGGUGAGUGUAUGUACAAACAGUUGUGUCUUUACUCUCUGCUGUUUAACUCAUUCCCCCUGCUCUGGGUCCUGUUGCACUAGAGGUUCAGAGAAAUGAGACUGAAUGGGUGGUGAAACAGGUCUGGUUUAUCUCGUGUUGCUGUUUAGUAGUGAAGUAGAAAAUGAAGAGUUAGGAAUGUGAGAAAAAGCAGGUAUGUGUUUUGCAACAGAAAUAAAAGUGGAUUUCCUCGUGGCACUUGACCAGAUCUUCCAGGCUCUGGAACUAUUCUCAGGUUGGGAGCUUUGGGUGGAAACUGGAUGGGAAGAGAAUGUUCCAUGUCAGAGCUGCACAAUUGCCUGUGUCCUCCUCUCCUGGGAGUGGGGAUGCCUUCCCUGUCCACGGACAUGCUGGGACAGUGUCUGUCAGUGCCCUCUCCAACCUUGGCUGGACAGGCAGUUAUGGCCCCAAGCCAGAAUAAUCGCUGCAGUUUGGGGAGUUCAGCCCAGCAGAGCCGCGAGCUCCGACAGAGAAACAAGACCCUAUUGAGGGAGAGCACUGGAACGACUGCUCCGUGGCCAGGGUGCUCCUUCCCAUGAAUAAGGGGACAAAAGUCUGGGGCUAAUGAGAAGCCCGAUGCUGGAGUGUUUGUUUUAAAGACAGUGGUUUAUUCUGCAGGCUCUGCUCUGGAGGCAAGGGAAAUUCUCUCUGGGAUCAGGAGUCUCCCAAAGGAAGGGGCUCCUGUUUAGCCUGGUUCUGCAGCUCUUCCCAGCAGAGGUGACAGUGCAUGAACCUGCUCUGGAGUCCAUGGAAAUGACUGGGAGCCUGUCUGUGUCACGGAAUGUGCUGCAGCAGGACAAGCACAGUGCUUGGCUGAAGUGUAUGGGAGGAUCUAUUUGGAGACUUUCCUGGGGGAUGGAAGGGGUGCAGGGCUUGCCCUAAGGCUCUGUUGGAAAGAAUUCCUGGCUCAGACACACUGAGGCAGUGGAGGGAUGAUCUGUACAGAGCACUGGAGAAAGCUCCUCAGGGAUCAGAGGAGAAUAGUCCUGGACAUCCUGGGGGGGCAGAUAAGGAGUUACGUAGUUCUUUACCGUAAUUGGGGUUCAGACCCCUGUGAACAGCCUGUCAGGGAAAUAUCUGGCAUGACCUAUAAAUGCAAAGGUUGGGUUUGGGUUUCGUUGCUUUGGGAAAAUAGUUUUUUCUUUCUUAUUUUCCCCUUGAUAUUUAUCAGACUUUCAUUUCAUCUUUAGGGUAGAUGGAAAGUAGUGUGUCAGCCAGCAGCAGAGGUGACUGACUCUCUGCCCAGUGCCUGCUCUGUGCUGGGAAAAUCAUUCCUAUGGAAGCUGUACCUGUUCUGUGCAGUCUCCCCACUCUGCACAGCCUCUCCUCCCACCCAUGCCAGCGAGGAGGCUCCUGCAGGGGGGCUCAGGCAACUGUGAACAUUCACUACAACACCCAAACCAGGGAUUAUUUAUAUUCCAAAUCCCAUUUUUCAGCACUGUCAAUUUUUCCCUUACGGGCAAACGAAAAGACAGUUAAAGGGACUUUU